This 445-nucleotide ribosomal RNA is filed under the name uncultured bacterium. RNAcentral describes it as "partial 16S ribosomal RNA". It matches the Rfam family "Bacterial small subunit ribosomal RNA", at positions 339 to 795 of the family's 1533-position model. The record is from RNAcentral.
CUACGGGACGCAGCGGUGGGGAAUAUUGCACAAUGGGCGCAAGCCUGAUGCAGCAACGCCGCGUGAGGGAUGAAGGCCUUCGGGUUGUAAACCUCUUUUAGCAGGGAAGAAGCGAAAGUGACGGUACCUGCAGAAAAAGCACCGGCUAACUACGUGCCAGCAGCCGCGGUAAUACGUAGGGUGCAAGCGUUGUCCGGAAUUAUUGGGCGUAAAGAGCUCGUAGGCGGUUUGUCACAGUCUGCUGUGAAAAUCCAAGGCUCAACCUUGGACUUGCAGUGGGUACGGGCAGGCUAGAGUGCGGUAGGGGAGAUGGGAAUUCCUGGUGUAGCGGUGGUAUGCGCAGAUAUCAGGAGGAACACCAAUGGCGAAGGCACAUCUCUGGGCCGUAACUGACGCUGAGGAGCGAAAGCGUGGGGAGUGAACAGGAUUAGAUACCCCCGUAGUC